CAGGGGAGUGGCCUUUCGGGGAACUCGGAGACAGGUGCUGCAUGGCUGUCGUCAGCUCGUGUCGUGAGAUGUUGGGUUAAGUCCCGCAACGAGCGCAACCCUUGUCUUUAAUUGCCAGCAUUCAGUUGGGCACUUUAAAGAGACUGCCGGUGUUAAGCCGGAGGAAGGUGGGGAUGACGUCAAGUCCUCAUGGCCUUUAUGCCCAGGGCUACACACGUGCUACAAUGGGUGGUACAAAGAGAUGCCAACUCGCGAGAGCGCGCCAAUCUCAGAAAGCCAUCCUCAGUUCGGAUUGGAGUCUGCAACUCGACUCCAUGAAGUUGGAAUCGCUAGUAAUCGCGGAUCAGCACGCCGCGGUGAAUACGUUCCCGGGCCUU
RNAcentral lists this ribosomal RNA (377 nucleotides) under uncultured Smithella sp. RNAcentral describes it as "bacterial SSU rRNA". It matches the Rfam family "Bacterial small subunit ribosomal RNA", at positions 1005 to 1382 of the family's 1533-position model. Lineage: Bacteria; Pseudomonadati; Thermodesulfobacteriota; Syntrophia; Syntrophales; Smithellaceae. The record is from RNAcentral.